AGAUGGUGUAUGCCUGAGCAACAAAGCAGAGACAGAGAGGUAUCCCUGAGAAUAAGUGCAUCACCUUUGUGUGUUCAUGAGGAAUGUGGGCAAAUCCGAGGUGCUGUAGAAACUCUGACUGGAACAACUCAGAGGCAACCCACAUAUCCAUGGGUUCAGCUCCUGCAGUGGUUUAAAAGCAGCUGCUUUUUUUUCCUUCAGCAUUCUGACAUUGCGGCUCACGACAAGUGGUGCCCGAACAGGGACCUGAGUGAGAGGGACAUCGAGGAGAGCGCCCUGCCAUCCAGGGCACUACAACCUGAACCGCGACUGAUCCCCUUGGCUCCUGCCGGUGAGUGACAGGGGACUAUAGUCCUGAUCAUGGCAAUAGAGGGAAAUGUUGUAGAAGAGGGUGCCGCCGAUGAGAGACAGGGGACGAUAGUCCUGAUCACGGCUGUAAGUAAGCGCAUGCUGAUGAGAGACAGGGGGCAAUAUUCCUGAUCACGGCCAUAAAGAAAGUACCUGCCGGUGAGAGACAGGGGACGGUAGUCCUGAUCACAGCCAAAAAAAAAAAAAAAAAAAAAAAGGAACGGGCUGCUGGUGAGAGACAGGGGACCUUAGUCCUGAUCACAGCAGUAGAAGUAAGGGCCACCGACGAGAGACAGGGGACGUUAGUCCUGAUCACGGCAGUAGUAACAAGGGGUGUAAGCCCUCAAAUUCUUAGUUAAAGUAUGGGUCAAAUGGAAUCUAGAGGUUAUGUAGGCAACUCUAUACAAAAGGUGCUAAAAGUACAAGGGGUUAGAGUUAAGAAGGCUCAAUUGGAAGCAUUUGUGAAAAUAUUGGGUGGUUUGUCCAUGGUUGUGUGGAUGAGGCUGAAAUAAAUCUAGAAGUCUGGGGAAGAGUAGGUAAACAGCUGCAGAAGGCCCUUGUGGCUGAGCCCGAUCAUUUUCCAGAAAGC
This 937-nucleotide long non-coding RNA is filed under the name Fukomys damarensis (Damara mole-rat). Its description in RNAcentral is "lncRNA (ENSFDAG00000030971.1)". The record is from RNAcentral. Lineage: Eukaryota; Metazoa; Chordata; Mammalia; Rodentia; Bathyergidae.